This is a non-coding RNA of Camelina sativa (false flax), 977 nucleotides long. The record is from RefSeq and is a predicted model, not a curated record. Lineage: Eukaryota; Viridiplantae; Streptophyta; Magnoliopsida; Brassicales; Brassicaceae.
UGUGACAAAAACCAAAACAGAGGAAUCGGAAUCAAAGUGUUGUGAAUGAAAACAAUCUAAACUUUGUGUGAUUUUAAGAUAUUUUACAACACAAAAAAGAAAGAAAAAAUCUGUCGCUUAUUUGUGAAGUUGUAGGAGAUGAAAACGUAAAUUUGAAUACACAGUUACAUGGAUGGGCUUGGUUAGCCAGGUUCCUUAACAAAAUCUCAGCCAACAACAGAGUUACUGCAACAGCCUUAAACGCCUUUCUCCAGACGGCAGGGUUUGGUCUUCAUCAGCGGUACAAAUCUCAGUUUGUGAAAGUUGUGAAUGUCAUGAGAGAACAUUUCUCGCAGAGAUUGAGGGCGAAAAAGGACACGUCGGAUCUACAACUGAUCAUAGCCGAUAUCAUGGCGUACUUGGAUGAAAAAAUGUAUCUCAAGGAACCUGAAGGAAGAACUAUGAAGGCGAGUCUCCUGUCAAUGGAGUUUACUGCUGAGUUUAAUCAUCCGCAGAAUAACAAUCAAUAUUACCAGAGGAAUAAUUACAGAGACAACUACUAUUGAUUUGAUGUAUCAUUUGGCUAGAUAAAAUAUUGUACCUUUCUCAAUUUUUAUUACACUGUUGUAACAUCUCUGAUCACAUUUGUCAAACCAAUCUUUGAAAAAUCAAAAUACAAGAAGCUUUCUUCUUCUUUCACUGUCAAGAUUACUAUUGUUUUCAUUUUAGAUAUAGUAUUAAAGAAUUGGAACGAGUUCAAGGGUUGUCUUGUAUGCCGAGACUGAGUUUAGUCCUCUGUAAUCUACAGAACUGUCGAGAGAUUACAGAACUGUCGAGAAGCAAGAGAAGGUGUACUAUUGGACAUAUUUCAUAACUACUCUUACUGUAGUACAAACAUUACAUAGCCAAAUUAAAUCAUAUAUUUAAUGGUGAAGAACUUGAACAAGGUCAAGAGCAACUUCAUUUCCGGUGAUGAUCUCCUUGGCUUCUUCCUUCUC